This 461-nucleotide ribosomal RNA is filed under the name uncultured bacterium. Its description in RNAcentral is "partial 16S ribosomal RNA". It matches the Rfam family "Bacterial small subunit ribosomal RNA", at positions 338 to 795 of the family's 1533-position model. The record is from RNAcentral.
CCUACGGGUGGCAGCAGUGAGGAAUAUUGGUCAAUGGGCGCGAGCCUGAACCAGCCAAGUCGCGUGAGGGAUGACGGCCCUACGGGUUGUCAACCUCUUUUGCCGGGGAGCAACGGGCGCCACGUGUGGCGCCACUGAGAGUACCCGGAGAAAAAGCAUCGGCUAACUCCGUGCCAGCAGCCGCGGUAAUACGGAGGUGGCGAGCGUUAUCCGGAAUCAUUGGGCGUAAAGAGGGAGCAGGCGGCCUGGAGGGUCUAUUGUUAAAAGGCAAUGGCUUAACCAUUGUAAGGCGAAGAAACCGGCAGGCUAGAGUUCUAAAGAGGAUCGUGGAAUUCCAUGUGUAGCGGUGAAAUGCGUAGAUAUAUGGAGGAACACCAGUGGCGAAGGCGACGAUCUGGGAAGAAACAGACGCUGAGUCCCGAAAGCGUGGGUAUCGAACAGGAUUAGAUACCCGGGUAGUC